AGAAAGUUAUAAAAAAAAAAAAAUUUAGCUUGUUAUUAAAAAAAAAAUUAAUACAUUUAAUAAGGGUAAACUUGGAAAACAAAAACUAGUUUGUGUGAUGCAUUAAUGACAUUGUUUUUAGUGUAAGGAAAGUGACAGUUGUAGUGAGAAGAAGGGAGAAGGUCCAAAAGAGAAGGUUAGAGAGAAGAUUGUUAGCACUUCCCAAUAAUAAAAAUGUGAGGAUUGCUUUAGUGGUGGGAAAACUGUUGGAUUUUUAUUUUUUUAUUUUUUUAUUUUUUAUUUUUUGAUGCUGACACUCGAGAUUUUCUUUUGCCCUUUUCAUUUUUAUUUCUUUUUAAUUUAGUAAAGGGAACUUUUUGGGUAUUAAAGAUGGUGGAAUAAUCAAAUUCAGGCGUUUUAGGUCCGCAUGAAAAAAGGACUACCAACAAGAAAUGGGAAAAAGUUUCCUAACUCAUGGAGAAAUAGGAGAUGAAAAUGAACCUUUCAUUAGGGUUGGAAUCGGUUCGGUUCAGUUACUAACUGAGGGUAGUUGGUUUAAGAAAC
This 543-nucleotide long non-coding RNA is filed under the name Prunus persica (peach). RNAcentral describes it as "long non-coding RNA (PPER_LNC007592)". The record is from RNAcentral. Lineage: Eukaryota; Viridiplantae; Streptophyta; Magnoliopsida; Rosales; Rosaceae.